CUCCCUCACCCCCACCACCAUAUUAUUACAAGUCUCCUCCACCACCUUCUCCUUCUCCUCCCCCUCCAUACUACUAUAAAUCUCCUCCACCACCCUCUCCGUCACCUCCACCUCCUUACUACUAUAAGUCUCCUCCACCUCCCUCACAUUCCCCUCCUCCACCAUACUAUUACAAGUCUCCUCCACCACCCUCUCCCUCACCCCCACCUCCAUAUUACUACAAAUCUCCUCCACCACCCUCUCCCUCACCCCCACCUCCAUAUUAUUACAAGUCUCCCCCACCACCCUCACCAUCCCCUCCCCCACCAUACUAUUAUAAGUCUCCUCCACCCCCACAUAUACACAAGGACCCACCAUACUAUUACAAGUCCCCACCACCACCUUCACCAUCUCCUCCACCACCUUACUACUAUAAAUCUCCCCCACCACCCUCACCAUCUCCUCCACCACCAUACUACUACAAAUCUCCCCCACCACCUUCACCAUCUCCUCCACCACCAUACUACUACAAAUCUCCUCCUCCUCCAUCCCCUAUCCCCCGUACACCUUACUACUACAAGUCCCCGCCACCACCUUCACCAUCUCCUCCACCACCAUACUAUUACAAAUCUCCUCCCCCGCCAUCUCCUAUUCCCCAGACACCUUACUACUACAAGUCCCCACCACCACCUAAGUAUCUUCCACCACCAUACUAUUAUAACUCUCCUCCUCCACAUGUUGUGUAUCCUCAACCACACCCUUACCACCACUCAUUGAUUGUGAAGGUAGUGGGUAAAGUCUACAGCUUUAGGUGCUAUGAUUGGGAGUAUCCUGAAAAGUCUCAUGACAAGAAACACCUCAAAGGUACAUCACUUACUAAGGAUUGAACUUCUAUACACUAAUGAGUUUAGAGCAUGCAUGAGACUUAAUCGUUUAUCUGUUAAAAUCUUAAUUGCUUUAAAAUUAUUCAUUAAUAUUUUGAUAAAAAAUACAACUCUCUGUUUAUUUUGAUAUAUAGAUAGAUAGAUAAUUCAAAUAUAAAAUUCAAAUUAACUUUUAUCCACACGACAAUGGGCCAAUUUGAUUAAGAUUUUCCUAAAAAAUGAUUUUAUAGUAUUUUAUCUUUUUAUAAUAUUUUUAAAAAUAAAACUUCAAAUAAAAAAUUAGUUUAAAUAGUUUAUUUUAAAAUAUCGUUUUAAGUAUUUCAUCUAUUUAAUUAUUUUUGUGGACAAUGAAAUUUCAAAAAAAUGAUUAAAAUAAAAUCUAUUUUAAGAAUCUUUUUGUAAAAAUUAUUUUUGAAAGAUAUCUUUUUUUUUUAAAUUAUUUUUUAUCAUAUUAAAAUCUCUAAUAAUAAAUGUUUAAGUUAUUGAAUGUCAAAAUUAUUUUUUUAGUUGGUAAUAAAUAAAUGUAAAACAAACUUUAAUAUUUUUAAGUAAAUUCUCAUAAAAAUUUAAAUAUAUAAAAUCAAUUACUUUUUAAAAAUUUUAAAUAAUCGAAUUCAAUAUAAAUUGCUUAGAACCGGCUACAACCUGCCAAGAAUAAAGAAAACAAUCAAUAUGUCAAAUUAAUAUGUACAAUCUACCUCGUUGGAAUUUAAUAAUUGCCCCUAAUUUAAUAUUCUACUUGAAAUUGAUUGUUUAACAUGCUGCUUUUAAUAAUAAAGACCUAUAUAGUAUGUGUUUCUAUAUUUUACUCGAUCCUAAAGUAAUUUUGUUAUGGGGCAGGUGCUGUUGUUGAGGUGACAUGCAAAGCAGGAAGCAAAAUCAUCAAGGCUUAUGGUAAAACUAAGAUCAACGGAAAGUAUAGCAUCACAGUUGAGGAUUUUGACUAUGUUAAAUAUGGUGCCACAGUGUGCAAAGCUGUGCUUUAUGCUCCACCUAAAAACUCACCUUUCAACAUACUUACAAAGCUAAACCAAGGAACCCCAUUGAAGUUGAAAUCCAAAGACAAGUAUGAGGUUGUGCUUCAGGCUAAGCCAUUUGCUUAUGCUUCAAAGAAACAUUUUAAAGAAUGUGAGAAGCCCAAGCCUUCACCAACUCCAUACUACUACAAGUCACCUCCUCCUCCGGUGCCAGUUUACAAGUACAACUCACCACCUCCACCGGUCCAUUAUUAUUCUCCUCCGUAUUACUACAAAUCACCACCUCCUCCUGUAAAAACACCGCCACAUCCUUACUAUUACAAGUCUCCACCACCACCAUCACCAUCUCCUCCUCCUCCAUAUUAUUACAAAUCUCCCCCACCUCCUUCACCAUCACCUCCUCCACCUUAUUAUUAUAAAUCUCCUCCUCCACCCAAAGUGAUAUCAAACCCUCCAUACUACUAUAAGUCACCACCUCCACCAUCACCGUCACCUCCUCCACCAUACUACUAUAAGUCCCCACCUCCACCAUCACCAUCUCCACCACCCCCAUACUAUUAUAAGUCACCACCUCCACCAUCACCAUCACCUCCUCCACCAUACUACUAUAAGUCCCCACCUCCACCAUCACCAUCACCUCCUCCACCAUACUACUAUAAGUCCCCACCCCCACCAUCACCAUCCCCACCACCACCUUACUAUUAUAAGUCCCCACCUCCACCCAAAGAGAUUUCACACCCUCCAUACUACUAUAAAUCACCACCCCCACCAUCACCGUCACCUCCUCCACCAUACUACUAUAAGUCCCCACCCCCACCAUCACCAUCCCCACCACCACCUUAUUAUUAUAAGUCUCCACCUCCACCCAAAGAGAUUUCACACCCUCCAUACUAUUAUAAGUCACCACCCCCGCCAUCACCAUCCCCUCCUCCGCCAUACUACUAUAAGUCACCACCCCCACCAUCUUCAUCCCCACCCCCACCAUAUUAUUACAAAUCUCCUCCACCACCAUCACCAUCACCACCACCUCCCUACUAUUACAAAUCACCUCCACCUCCUUCACCAUCACCACCACCUCCCUACUACUACAAAUCACCUCCACCACCAUCCCCAUCGCCACCACCUCCAUACUACUACAAAAGUCCCCCUCCACCAUCCCCCUCUCCUCCUCCCCCAUAUUACUACAAAUCUCCACCACCACCAUCACCAUCUCCACCUCCUCCCUACUAUUACAAAUCACCUCCUCCACCAUCACCAUCACCGCCACCUCCUUACUAUUACAAAUCUCCCCCACCUCCAUCUCCAUCUCCACCACCACCUUAUCAUUAUCAAAGUCCUCCUCCACCAUCUCCCAUUUCUCAUCCUCCCUACUAUUACAAAUCCCCUCCACCACCGUCGCCAUCUCCUCCACCUCCUUACCACUAUGUAAGUCCUCCACCACCAGUAAAGUCUCCUCCACCACCAGUUUAUAUAUAUGCUUCACCACCACCACCUAUCUACAACUAAGUUCAAAUUACAGAUGCACCAUUGAUGAUGAAUCAUGUAAGUUUAUCAUAUUUACUUUUAUGAAUGUAUGUGUGUUUUAUAAUAUAAUACUUAUAAAAGUUCUUAUUCGUGUUUGUUUUCAGGUUCCAGUUUUCAACUACGAAUAAAGUCAAGCUCCGUUUGGAGCAAAGUGAAAUAUCUAGCUUCGUACCCAUAUUUAUUAAAUAAAAGUCAGGAUGCAUCAUCUUUGAGCUACAAUAUUUGUCAUCGAGACAAAAUUUAUUUUAUUUCUUUGAUGACCAUCUUGCACUUCCUGAUCUUACUCUUUUCAAGUGACAGGCAAAUCAAAAUGGAGAAGCGUGAUUGAUUUAUUUGUGAUCUCUUAUAUUUAUUUGUGCAUAGAUCAAUAUGUACGUAUAUGAUAGUUUUCUAUUUAUUGAGAAAUUUUUUAUUGUAAUCUGUUAUCGUGUUUGCCAAAAGGUGUUAGCAAUAAAGAAUCGCAUUCAAUUUCUGCCUACACUAUUAAGUUUGUAUUUUUCUAACCACAAUCGUUCAUGCGAAUGUGAUGUAGCUGUUUAAAAUAGCUCCAAAUGAUGCAUAAAAAGCUUUCAAUCAAAUGAGACAGGGUCACGGUUACUCUUGUACCUAUUUAGUUAUCCAUACAUUUAUAUUCAUAGGGGUUAUAUGGUAUAGCUGCACUUAAUUAAUUGUUUAUGUAUGCAAGCUUUUCCUUUCCAUCAAUAAGCAAUGGUUAGAAGCAUUCUUCUACAUAUUCCUCUCUACUCUUCUAGAAUGAAUUGUUUAUUUCAUGUAAGAUGGUAUCAAAAGAUUCAAAACACACCACCUAAUGCUGCUAUGUAUAAAUAAAGUAUGACUACAAACUUUAUGACCCCUAAUUGAAAGAGAACUUAAAGUUUCAAGGUUUCUACACACAUUUUCAAGGAAGUAGGUUCCAAAUAUAACAUUAUCAUUCUCUGUACAAAUAUGACACUUCCAAGUAUUAUUUAUUGUAAGGAAUAGAAUGUACUCGUGAAUAGGGAAGACUUUUCAACAUCAAGUGGAUGAUGUUUUGCCUAAACUCGGCUGUUAUUGUUAACAUGGUGAAGUCUGGCUUUUUUGAAAAAUGGUUUUAGCAAACAAUCUAAUUGGAGAAUAUCAGUAGUUCAUGGCUUUAGACAAACCAACUGUUGUGCAUAUUUACUAGUUUGAUAGUUAAUUAAGGUCAUUCCUCCACAACUUUUUGAUUGGAUUCUAGUUUUCCUUCUUUGAGUACUUAAAAUUGAUAGAAACGUCAACUUUUUAAAUACUUUUUACUUAUAUUUCAUUUUAGAUUUCAUUUUCGAUGGAGUAUUUAUUAACCAAUGAUAUACGCAAGAGUCUCCCUCGUUUGAUUUCUUAAUUCAAUCAAUUUUUAUAUAUAAAAAAAGGACCCGAUAAUACAUCAAUGAUUGUAUUAAGAUAACUUCAGUUUGAAAAAUUGUACAACCCUAUACUACCUAUUACCUAAAUUAAACCCGAGAAUUUUAGGACCGUAAAGGUGGGUGGAGUGGUCGUCCAGAUAACUUUAACAUAAUUAGCUCUCCAAAAAUGGAAAAGUAAUCCUUUAUUUAAGCUAUGAUAUACACGCUUAUCUGCCCAACAUUAUAGUAAGAAUCCAAAAGGACUCACCUAAUCCCUCCAAUCCCUUUCUCUUUCUAGCUUUUCCACCCAACCACUGGUUCCACAAUUAUGGAAUCAAUAUCCAAUUAUGUUUACGAGGCGUGUCUAAUAUAUAGACCUCUCAGAAAAUGGUCAAGACUGUUACUAUUUUUUAGUAAAAAAAUAAUUUUAUAAUAAUAAAAAAUAAAAAGAAAAUAUAAUAUUUCAAUAAAAUUUAAUUAAAAAUAGUGAAGUUCACCAUUAGACCUAGACUAUAUUGGACAGUCCUAUCUUUAAGACUAAUUAUUGUGUGAAAAAUCAUCUAAUCGGAUUUUGUUACAUAACUCAAUACGAGUUGAGAUCUUAUCAAUUUCUCAAAAAAUAUAGAAUAUUCAAUUAUUAUAAUUUUGUAUUUCUAUAUUGACACACAUUUUUAAAACAUGUGACAUAAAUUAAACAUUUAUUAACUUUAUAUACACCAACAAUAUAGUAAUUAAACAAAUGAAAUGGAGAGGAUAUGAGGCUCAGCUGUCCUAUUACACGGCAUUGACUACCUUAAACAAUGUGUGAGAGAGAGGAGAACACGAUGGCAUUGUCCAACUUAAGUAUUAGUAGCUUCACAUGGAGACACAAUGCACCCAUUUUAUGGUAAUUUUAACAAAUGGGGCAUAUGUUCUGUCAACAAAAACAAAAAUAUGGGGCAGAUGCAACGAAAGUUACUGCCACCUUGGCCUUAAGAAAGAGUAAAUAAAUUGAUAUGUUGGACAAAACCAAAACGUUACUACAUUUCUCUUCUAGCUAGCAAAUCCAAAUCAGACAAUGGUGCUACAUUUAAUAUGUACAUUUCCACUAACAAUGGUGAAAAAAAAGAUAAUUGUCAAAUUUUAACAUCAAAGGGAGAAUUAAUCUCACGCCAUUUAAGAAGAAAAAUAUGAAAUAGAUAGUGGGAGAACACACUUGUCCAUCUUAUGUGAAAAUUUCAGAUGAUACGAUCCAUUCCUAGAAAUUAGAAUCACAUGUAAUUUUAAUCUGGAAGAUUGACUUUUCAGAAAAAUAAAACUAGAUUUGUUCACAAUAUCAUAGAGGAAUUUACAUGAUUUCCUCCCGUUGAAUUGUAGGACUAUUUCUUAUUGGCAAAGGCUUGGUUGUCCAUUUAAAAUAUUAUAUCACAUUAUCCAACAGCACCAAACCCAAUUUUCAUAACGGUAGUUUGCACGUUUCAUUCAUUUAUUGAUUCCAUAAUUUUAUGUUACAAGUCGACAUUGAUCAGUUGCUAAAAACUAUGCAACGACCAAAAAUAACUAGUAGUAUAUAUUUUAACACCGAGAUUUAUCAGACAGGAACAUAUGUAAAGACAAAUCAAAUGAAUGCCCAGUUUAAGUCAGAAUAAUAUAACACAUAAUAUAGUGUACACAGUUAAAAAAAAAAAAUCAAAUUUCACAAGACAAUAAAUGUAAUAUAAUUUUAUGCGCAGCUAACAAUUUUUCACUAGCUUUCGCCAUUAUGAUGUUUUGACUCUGUGUGCAUAUUUCAGUUAUAAGAUUAUUCCGUUUUAUGUUACUGAAAUACUAAUUCAACCAUUUGGCAUUGACAUAUUUCCAUCAUGAGUGCAUGUUUCUUUUUGUUUUAUUUUUCCUUUCUUUCUUUUGAAUAAUUUCUUCCUUUGUUACUAAAAUAACUUGAUCUUGAUAUACAUGAGAUAAAGCCUACACCUGAUACAAGGUAAAUGCAUUGGACAAAUAAAGCAAAAAACAAAGCUAUUCAGAAAGUGUAUUGCACAAACAGAGAAACUACUAAGAAAGGUUAAACUUUUUACUUUUAUAAUAAAUAUGAAAUUUGCUAAUUAUUUUUCCUGGUUAUUGUUCUUUUUAUUUUCUCCUUCAAAAUCAGCAAUAUGCAAUUGUGCAUUUCAUCCGGGAAACAUCAUCACAUGUUCAUCUCAUAAUUGAGAAGUCACAUAAUUUGGAUUACUCUAUCACAUUCAAAAAGUACACAUACAAAACAUGAAAAGUCAACUAUACAUUUCACGAUUAAAUGAAGAACACAAAAAUUCCAACCAAAGCUUGCAAUAGCUACCAUCAUGGGCUAGAACAAAAAUAAUGCCCAUUCAUGGAUAAGUAAGGCAAAACAGACUAGAUUCACAUUCCCUUCCCUCAAAAACAAUACAAAGUAAAAUUGAAAAAGAGAACAAGAGAGAAAAUGGUAAAAGAAAAAAAGCAUUUUGACAGUUACUUUUUUGUCAAGAUAAGCAACUCAGAAGGGAAGCUAUGAGGAAACUAUAGAAGAAUAGGACACAUUACUUCAAGUUCUCUAAUCAUUCCAUUUUGUCAAGAUGCUUAUUUAUAUUUUAAUUAUGACAAAAUACAUCUUAUAGUCUUUUAAGUUACACGAAAAUAUCAAAUUGGUCAUUUAACUUUUUUUGUAUCAAUUUAUGUUUGUAAAAGUUACACUGUUGAACUAUUUUUAGUCCCAACCUCAUUUCAAUCAUUUUUAGUUAAAUAUUUUUAAAUUGUAUUAUGAGUUUUGUAUCAAUCAUAAGAGGAAUAAUAUAUUAAAUUUUAUGUGAUUGCAUGAUGUAGAUUAAGAGAUUUUAGUGUUUAAUUUCAAAAAACACUAAAAUGUAUCUCACUCAAAUUCUAUUUUGUUUAAUUAUUUUUCUAAAAGUUGAUUGAAGGUCUAUGUUCUUAUGAUUAUUGCAAUCAAAAGCCUUUAAAAAUUAUAUGAGUUUAUCGAAAAAAUUAAGAGAAUUUUGAAUUUCAAUUUUGCUGAUGUAAAAUUAAGAUUAUCGGCGUAAACAUUUACAAACAUAAAAGGCAAACUUAACACUAAUGAAAAUAAAAGACUACGUUGUUACAACAAAAAAGGACUAAAUUGUUAAAAAUAAAAAAUAAAGGACUAAUUUUUAGUUUUCUUAUAACUUUAAAGACCACGGGAGAUAGAAAUAGUGACGGGUUACGGCCAUUGGAACUAGGAAGUAUAACAAUGUAAUGCGAAAGAAGUUGCCAACUGGGAGCAUUAUUUAAAGGACUUAAAUCAAAAUGAGUCAAAUCAAUAUUUGAAUUGGUCCUUAAUGAUAGCUGCCUCUUUACGACUUACUCUCACUACACUAUAAGUAUUAAGUCUCACAAGCAGCUUUUCACAUAAUCACAAACUCCAAAACCUCUCUUCUACCCUUCCACGGGAGAUAGAAAUAGUGACGGGUUACGGCCAUUGGAACUAGGAAGUAUAACAAUGUAAUGCGAAAGAAGUUGCCAACUGGGAGCAUUAUUUAAAGGACUUAAAUCAAAAUGAGUCAAAUCAAUAUUUGAAUUGGUCCUUAAUGAUAGCUGCCUCUUUACGACUUACUCUCACUACACUAUAAGUAUUAAGUCUCACAAGCAGCUUUUCACAUAAUCACAAACUCCAAAACCUCUCUUCUACCCUUCCAGCUUUUCCACCAUAUCAAAGAAUAUUAGUGAGGAUACAAUAACAGAAGCAUUGGAGGUGACAACUUUUUCUUUCUACCCAUGACAGAUAGAACCAGUUGCCCCAGAAGGGAUUAUAUCUGGCCACCAAUGGCAACGGCAUUGGCCAUUGUGUUAAUUUCCACAACUGUGGUUUCUGUUGCUGCUGAUAGUUACAUUUACUCUUCUCCACCACCACCUCCUUACGUGUACAAGUCACCACCUCCUCCAUCACCAUCAACUCCAACACAUUACAUUUACAAGUCUCCACCACCUCCACCCUAUGAGCACAAGUCUCCAUCUUAUGAGUACAAGUCUCCCCCACCUCCUUCACCAUCACCCCCACCACCAUAUGUGUACAACUCACCACCUCCUCCAUCACCAUCACCUCCACCUCCAUACAUAUACAAGUCACCAGCUCCUCCACCUUAUGAAUACAAGUCUCCAUACUAUUACACGAGUCCUCCACCAGCCUCUCCCUCACCUCCACCUCCAGACUAUUACAAAUCACCCCCACCACCUUCACCAUCUUCUCCACCACCAUACUAUUACAAAUCUCCUCCUCCUCCAUCUCCUAUUCCCCAUACACCUUACUACAAUAAGUCUCCACCACCAUACUAUUAUAACUCUCCACCUCCACAUAUUGUGUAUCCUCAACCACACCCCUACCACCACUCAUUGAUUGUAAAGGUAGUGGGUAAAGUCUACAGCUUUAGGUGUUAUGAUUGGGAGUAUCCUGAAAAGUCUCAUGACAAGAAACACCUUAAAGGUACAUUAAUUUAUAUUUCUUAAUCCUUUCGUUUUUAACUCGUAUAAACUUAUUUAUUUAUUUUUGAAAAACUUGAGUAAAUUAUUAUUGGCAUAAAAUCCUCAAUGGCAUUACAAAUAAAUUGACAAUAUAGUUUAAUAUGUUUCUGUUUAAUAAUACUCUAUAUUAUAUGUCUUUAAAUACAUUUUUAUUUCACUUUGUCUUUAAAUCAAAUUUGUAAUGCGGCAGGAGCUAUUGUGGAGGUGAAAUGCAAAGCUGGGAGAAAAAUAAUCAAAGCUUAAGGUAAAACUAAGAUCAAUGGAAAAUACAGCAUCACGGUUAAGGACUUCGACUACGUCAAAUAUGGUCCUACAGUAUGCAAAGCCACACUUUAUGCUCCACCUAAAGGCUCUCCUUUUAACAUACCUACAAAGCUAAAUGCGGGAACCAACUUGGAGUUGAAAUCCAAAGACAAGUAUGAGGUUGUACUUAAGGCUAAGCCAUUUGCUUAUGCUUCAAAGAAAUAUUUUAAAGAAUGUGAGAAACCCAAUCCUUCACCAACUCCUUACGACUACAAGUCACCUCCUCCUCCAGUACCGGUUUACAAGUACAACUCACCACCUCCACCGGUCCAUUAUUAUUCUCCUCCAUAUUACUACAAGUCACCUCCGCCUCCAUUGAAAUCACUUCCACCUUAUUAUUACAAGUCCCCACCUCCACCAUCACACCCUCCAUACUGCUACAAGUCACCACCCCCACCAUCACCAUCACCAUCACCUCCUCCACCAUACUAUUACAAAUCCCCACCUCCACUAUCACCAUCUUCACCACCACCUUACUAUUAUAAGUCACCUCCUCCACCCAAAGUGAUUUCAAACCCUCCAUACUACUAUAAGUCACCACCCCCACCAUCACCAUCACCUCCUCCACCAUACUAUUACAAGUCCCCACCUCCACCGUCACCAUCUCCACCACCAUUUUACUAUUAUAAGUCACCCCCUCCACCCAAAGAGAUCUCAAACCCUCCAUACUACUAUAAGUCACCACCCCUACCAUCACCAUCACCUUCUCCACCAUACUAUUAUAAGUCCCCACCUCCACCGUCACCAUCUCCACCACCACCUUACUAUUAUAAGUCACCUCCUCCUCCCAAAGAGAUUUCAAACCCUCCAUACUACUAUAAGUCACCACCCCCACCAUCACCAUCACCACCACCUCUCUACUAUUACAAAUCACCUCCACCUCCACCACCAUCUCCUUCCCCUCCACCUCCAUAUUACUAUAAAAGUCCCCCUCCACCAUAUCCCUCUCCUCCUCCUCCCUAUUACUACAAAUCACCACCAUCACCAUCUUCACCCCCUCCCUACUAUUACAAAUCACCUCCACCACCAUCACCACCACCUCCUUACUAUUACAAAUCUCCCCCACCUCCAUCUCGAUCAGCGCCACCUCCUUAUCACUAUCAAAGUCCUCCUCCGCCAUCUCCCAUUUCUCAUCCUCCCUACUACUACAAAUCCCCUCCACCAACAUCGCCAUCUCCUCCACCUCCUUACCAUUAUGUGAGUCCUCCUCCACCGGUAAAGUCGCCUCCACCACCAGCUUACAUUUAUACCUCUCCACCACCUCCUAUCUACGACUAAGCUCGGAACGCCGAAGCACCAUUCGUGAUGAAUCAUGUAAGUUUGCCAGCAUUACAUUCAUAACACAUGCAUGCGCGUCCACUCGCACACCCAUAAAUCCAAUGUAAAAAUAUUAUGUACUAAUUAGCAAAAAUUCAUAUUUGUUUUCAGGUUCUAGUUUUGGUCAAGUAAUAAAGGCAAGCUCUACUUUGAGAAAAGUGAAGCGUCUAUCUUCUUGUCCGAAUUCUUUAAAUCUACUUCCGAAUAUAUCAUCUAUGAGCUACGAUAUUAGUGACCGAUAUGAGAUUUCGUUCAACUCUUUGAUGGCCAUCUUGCACUUCCUAAUCUUACAGUGUUCAAAUGACAUACAAAUCAAACAGUGGAAGCAAGAUUAAUUUAUUUGUGAUAUCUUUGAUUUAUGUGCAUAUAUUAAUAUGGCUGUGUAUGAUAGCUUUUAUUUUUGUCGAGGAUUUUUUGUAUUGUACUCUGUUGUUGUGUUUCCAAAAGAAAUGUUAGUAAUGAAUAAUCAAAUUCAAUUUAUAUCUACCUAAUUAGUUCUUGUUUCUUUUAAACAACUCCCAUUCGUGUCAGCAAGACCAAGCACAACACCAUACCACCAUAAUGCAUCAUUGCAUGAGAUAGAAAAUGAGUAAACUAAUAUAACUGUUAAGAGAAAAAGAAUAAAAACAUAAACUACUGGAGAUAAAACGUACCUCAGGGCUUUAAUAUGUGUUAAAAACCCAAUAUUUUAAUAGCUCUCUCCAAGAAUCUCCCUUUUUUUUCCAAAUGAAGUUCAAGUUCCUAAAUUAAGAAUACAAGUGACUCAAGAAAAGUUUCUACUUUUUAAAAUCUGAAGCUUGAGCUACACACAUGACAAAUGUAAGCAUCAUAGAAGUAUAAAGGAUCACAAAUAUCAAUUUCACCAUUAUUCAUGCGUAUUAUUCCAUAAUUUUUAGUUUCUUCAUAUUGUAUCCUUAUCAUAAAUUUAAUUACUAUAUCUUCUCUAUAAGAUCUGAUGACAAUAUGUUUUUCUCUCAAUGAAAACUGAAAAUGGAUUAUUGUAAUCCUAGAUUUAUUUUCUAUCUUACAAGUGCAUAAUGAAUUAUUAAACUCUAACUAUUCUUGUUGGAAACCUUGACAAAUUAAUGAAGGACCAGUCUUGACUUAAUUGUUAAACAAUUUGAAGCCAUGGUGAAAAUGUGUUGUUAGCAAAGAUUGUCAGCAUCACAUAAUAUGGCAAACAAAUGGAAAAAUCAUUAGAGAAAUGAACAAUCAAAGGAAGUUAGGUCUAUUUGAUUAAAACUAAAACCAAAAACAUUUAAAAUCGAAUUUGAAUAAAAAUUUAAAAUUAAUUGAUGAAUGGGAGAAAAAAGAUUCAUACAAAUAGAUUCAUUUCUGAAACCAUACCCUCCUUUAAUUCUCUCUUCCCUUAUACCUUCAUCUUCAUUCAACAAAACAAAAACACUAUCUCAAAAUUCAAACAUUAAAAAACCUUCAAAUAAAAUAUUUUGAAAUGAAAGCGUAAACCGAACCUGGCACAGCGUUGGAGAAGCACAGCACUGAAGAAAAUGUGGAUUUCAACGAAUGAGAUUACGAGGUGAGUUCUGCUCCGAGUCGUCAACUGAGUUAGACCACGGUCCAUUUCGGAGCACUGAGUUUGCACCGAGUCGCGCAAAAAAAUUUGUUGGGGUCUUCUGCAAUUUAACAUAAAUUGUAUAAACUUUAAUUUUAAUUCCAUUUUUACCCUUAUAUUUAAGGAUAUGUUUGGAUGGACUUGGGAGUUUUGAAAUGCAAAGAGAAAAUGACUUAUUUUUCUUUUUAAAAUUAAAAGGUUAAAUAGUAUAUUUCUAAAAAUGAAUUGAGUGUAGAUGAAAGUGUAAACUAAUUAUUUAUUUUUCUUUUUAAAAUUAAAAAGUGAAAUAGUAUAUCUCUAAAAAUUAAUUGAGUGCACAUGAAAGUGUAAAUCAAUGAUUUAUUUUUCUUUUUAAAAUUAAAAAGCUAAAUAGUAUAUUUUUAAAAAUGAAUUGAGUGUAGAUGAAAGUGUAAACUAUCAAAUGAAUUUGUCUAUUCUGAAGUGAGAAGUUACUAAAUUGAAUAAAUCAAUUGAUUAUACAUAUGCAUAUAAUAUCAACCAUUUAUUUGAUUAUCAACAGUUAAUAUUACUUAUUUUAUUCUCUAAAGUGAGUUGCUCACUUUAGAAGAGUUAAAUUUCUACCAAAUUGGUAUUUGAGAUUUGAAAGAGCUUUCAAUUUAAUCUCUGAAACUAUUAAUAUCUCAUAUCUCAAAUUCAUCUAUGUCUUUGUCAAAAAAAAUUAGUUAAAUUAUUUCGUCGAUUUUCAUUCUCUUUCUUUGUCAAAAUUUCUUAGUUAGGUUGUUUCGUCACUUUUAAGAGUGAUGGUGUGGCAUGUAAAGUGUCACCUCACCAUCCACUUGUAUUAAAAAGUAUUCAAAUGAUUAAAAAUAAAUUAUUUAUACAAAUAUUUAAAAAAAAUAUAUGAUUUUAUAUAUUUAAAAAAUUAGAUUUAGUUAUCUAUCCAAUAGACUUAGUUCAACUUCCAUCAUCUACGGUCCGAAACGAAUUUUCCGCUAACCAUUCAUUAUGAUGUUCAUUUCUUAUUAGGAUCAAUGCAUAAGAAUUAAGGUAAAUAAAUAUAAAGGAAUUAAAUUGACAUUAAAUUGUCAAAGUCCGAAAAUGUUUAUGAAUUAUUAUCAUUUUAUUUAAUUUAAAAAUGUAUUCAGUGUUAUCAACUCCCGCAUCAGUUGUGUUUGAGUUUAAUUCAGUCAUUGGUUGUAUUAUUAAUUCGGUUUCAGUUUAAACGAAAUGAUUUUUUCUUUAGGGAAAAUGAAAUGAUCGUUAAGUGGAUUGACUCUUGUAUAUGUUACUAAAUUUAUAUUUAAAUUUGUCUGCAAAGCCUUCUGAUAUUUUUGCGCUGAGUUUUUGUUGUGUUUUAGAUUGGUUUUCAAGGGAACUUGAUUGUCGCAAAUUGGGGGGUUUCUUUGUACAUUGAUGUUUUUGGAUAGAAGGGGUGUCAAAAGAAUACAACUAGUGUCUGACCGGACCAAAGACAAUCUUUGAGUUAAUAAAACAAUAAGUUUUUAAAAUAAAUAAACCGAUAAUAAAUUCAUAAAUAUUUCUUUAAAAUAUUUUUUGAUUUUGACCACUUACUCUCAAUUUAGUCAAUAAUUUAGUCCAUAGAUUUAUCCGAUUUUUACAAAUUGAUCCUUAUCACAAUGAAUAUAGUAGACAAAUUUGUUCAUAACCUAAAAUGGUGGAAGUUGAACAAAGUAAGUUAGGUAUGGAAUGAAAUAUGAUUUUUAGGACAUAAAAGUAGAUUUUUUAUUUCUAUAUAUUUUAUAUAUAAUUUCUUUAACCACUUUAUUAUUUUUUAAUACACAUAAACGUCUAGGUGACAAUUAACAUACUUACAUACCACAUCAUCACUUUUAAACAAUUUUAGAAACGAAAUUUAACAAGAAGACCUAACUGAGAAACAUUUGACAGAGUUAGAGAUGAAUUUGAGAUAUUAAUAGUCUCAUGGACUAAAUUAAGAGUGUAUUACGGUUUCAAGGAUCAAUUUGGUGAUUUACUCAUAAUUGAAAUGUUAUAAUCAUUUAACAUGUUAUUCAAAAUAUAGACUUAACAUUUCAAAGUUCUACUCUACAAAACUCAGUAUGAAACAAUGUAAACCUAUGCACUCCAAUGCAUCCUACUUGUACCCUCGACAAAGAUUAAACAAAUAAAUAGGUAGAUAAAAAGGUAUGUGGAGGUAGGAUAGACUAUUUACUUUAUUUAAGUGUUUCAAGAACUGAAAUUUCAUUCAACGCAUAUUUAUGUGUUAUAUUAAAAUAUGAUCCUAGAUAAUCACAUAUAGUGUUGUUAAAAGAAUAUUUAGAUACUUGAAAUAGACUACUAAUCUUGGUUUGUUGUAUAAGAAAACAUUUAUGUGAUAUUGAGUAUAAUAGAGAUAAAAUCGAAAGAAAAAACACUAGUGGAAGCUUCUGGUUUCUUGGAGAAAAUAUAUAAUCCCAUGGACAAUCAAAUGUUAAGGAACAAUUUCGACACAAAUAACUUACAACCGAACAAUUCACAUUGACCUAAAAAAAUCACAAUUAUUUCAGAUACAUAAAUUUCAUCACAACAACAACAUUGCAAUAAGGAGGGGAGAAUAAAUAAAACCCUUAAUUAAACCCUUAAGCUGAUCUUGAACUCUAACUGAGGAUGACUGGAUACCGAGGGUCCACGGGUGGCAUCAAGCUUCACUGCUUCUGAUUGUCAAUCCAAAAUCAUCGCUCUGUCACAUCUUCGGCGUUGUUGCAAUUCUCGCACGACUCAAAACUCUAAGAACCUAGGGCGUAAGCUCAGUCCAUAAUAAUAGUAGAGGGCCACGAUCUAAAAACAACAAUCAACUCAAGGAACCACCCCAUGACUCAUUACAGUCACCACUAACACUAUGACCCAUCACAAUCACCACUAACAUUAUGGCCCAUCACGGUCACCACUAACAUUGUGGCUCAUCACGAUCACCAUUAACCCUGUGGCCCAUCACGGUCACCCCUAACUAUGAAAUGCAUGAGCAUGCUCUCACUCUUCCAAAUCAAUCAUUAUGUAAAUGCAGUUAUUAAAAGACUCUCCUUUUAAUACUCAUUAAACGCUAAUAAUGUUUUAUAUUUUUUUUCACACAGCAUAAUCAAGACAUAUUAUCGUCAAUAAAAUUCAUAACACAUAUGUUAUCAGUUAAGAAUACAUAAUCACAUCAAAUAAAUAAACAAUUGUGUGUACCUUUAUUGACCACAAACACAAAGAACAUGUAUACAUACAUACUUUGUAUUCAAGCAUAUAUAAUAUCGUUAGAAAGUGUCCUUACUUCGACAAUGCUUUAUUACACAAGCAACUUACGAUAUGCCAGUAUAACCUAUCCGACAGUUAUCAAACUUCAUCCAGUCUCGUCCUGAAAUCUACCAGACGAACAUCAAAUACUUUUCUUAACACCCCGACUUUUAAUAGUGAGAGUGUAAAUUUUUUUUUAAAAAAAAAAAACUAAACACUUUAGGCUAAAAUAUUCAUAAUUGUAUUUAAUUUAAAUCAGAGUAAAAUAUUUAAUUAUAAAAUUCUUUUCCAAAAAUGAUGAUUAGAAUUUUUGUUGCAUUAUAUAAAAUGGUUUCGAUACAAAUAACUUACUUACAACCGAACAAUUCACAUUGACCCAAAAAAAUCACAAUUAUUUCAGAUACAUAAAUUUCAUUGCAACAAUAACAUUGCAAUAAGGACGGGAGAAUAAAUAAAACCCUUAAUUAAAACUCUAAGUUGAUCUUGAACUCUAACUGAGGAUGAUUGGAUACUAGGGGUCCACGGGUGACAUCAAGCCUCAUUGCUUCCGAUUGCCAAUCCAAAAUCAUCGCUUUGUCACGUCUUCAACGUUGUUGUAAUUCUUGCAUGACUCAAAACUCUAAGAACUUGGGGCGUAAGCCCAAUCCACAAUAAUAAUAGAGGGUCACGAUCUAAAAACAACAUAUAUACGAAAAUACAAAGCACGAAAGCAUAACAUGACAUAGCAUCAACUGAUAAACAAGUAUGCAUAUAAUUAUUAUCAUAUAACAAACAUGACUCGUGUGACAAAGCACCCUAAUGCAAUGCUUAUAUCCUAAUGCACAUGAUUAUGGAAUUUCCUCACCAUCGUCGAGGGGCGAAAAUCAUAAAUGUACCGCCUCUCACAUGCCAAUACUAAUUACUGAGGUGUCAUAUAUCACAGAUCAGCACGAUUUACUAGAGUGCAGUUUAUCACAUACCUACACAACUUCAAAAUCCUUGUAAGGAUAAGGUGGACCAAUCAACUCAAGGAACCACCCUAUGGCUCAUCACAGUCAUAACUAACACUAUGGUCUAUCACGAUCACUACUAACACUGUGGCCCAUCACGGUCACCACUAACUAUGAAAUGCAUGAGCAUAUAAUUAUUAUCAUAUAACAAACAUGACUCGUGUGACAAAGCACCUUAAUGCAAUGUUUAUAUCUUAAUGCACAUGAUUCUGGAAUUUCCUCACCAUCAUCGAGGGGCGAAAAUCAUAAAUGGACCGCCUCUCACAGGCCAAUACUAAUUACUGAGGUGUCAUAUAUCACAGAUCAUCACGAUUUACUAGAGUGCAGUUUAUCACAUACCUACACAACUCCAAAAUCCUUGUAAGGAUAAGGUGGACCAAUCAACUCAAGGAACCACCCCAUGGCUCAUCACAGUCACCACUAACACUAUGGCCUAUCACGGUCACUACUAACACUAUGUCUCAUCACGGUCACCACUAACUAUGAAAUGCAUGAGCAUGCUCUGACUCUUCCAAAUCAAUCAUUAUGUAAACGCAGUUAUUAAAAGACUCCCCUUUUAAUACUCAUUAAAUACUAAUAAUUUUUUAUAUUUUAUUUUCAUAAAGCAUACUCAAGACAUAUUCUCGUCAAUAAAAUUCAUAACACAUUUGUUAUCAGUUAAGAAUACAUAAUCACAUCAAAUACAUAAACAAUCGUGUGUACCUUUAUUCACCACAAGCACAAAGAACAUGUAUACAUACACACUCUGCAUUCAAACAUAUAUAAUAUUGUUAGAAAGUGCCCUUACCUCGACAAUACUUUAUUACACAACCAACUUACGUUAUGCCAACAUAACCUAUUCGACGAUUCCAACAACACCUCUCAAUUUCCUUGUAACUUAAAUCAACCAAUUAAUUUAAUCAAUACAAGUUUCUAAACCAACCCCAAAUGAACCCUAGGUUCGACCCCUUUCCAAAUCAAUUAGGUUUGACUUUUCUCUUAGGUUCCCUAACUUCAAGAAGACGUUGGUUUAAGUACUUUGGCAGAAGCGAUUUUUAAAACACUUAGGCUACACAUUGAAAAUCUUGAAAUUAUUUUUUCCAAACUUAUUGAAGUUCAACAUAAAUCUUUAUCUUUAACAACUUAGGACAAAAUAUUUUCUUAAUAAAAUCAAUUAAAGAUAAAUAUACUCACACUGUUCAAAAUUUUGAAUAAAUCAUCCAUCAACAUCAUAAAUUUCAACACUUUAAUAUUUGAAAAACUAGUAGAAAGUUUUUUUUAUCAAGAAAUCUUUUUUAAAAAAAAAACUCAAAUACUAAGAGUUUCAAUGCUCUAAUUAUUCCAAAUUAUGAUUCUUCCAAUUUGACAUUUUUCAAACCUUAAUCUUUAUAAACUAUGCUUUGUAUUUAAACUUUCACACUAAAAUCACAUUUUAUCAUAACGCAAAAUAUUUCUCCAGUUCAUAAUUUUCUUUUAUGUCUUCAACUAAAAUCUUCAUUUCUAAUAAAAUCACAUAUCAAAAGCCAAAAUUAUAUUCAAUCAUUAUUUUUCAAAACACCUAGAUACUUCUCCAACUUCGAAUUUUAGUAUAAAGUUGACAUCUUACUAUAAAAAUCAAAACUUGCAACUUCAAAACUUAAGAUCGAAAGUUUGUUCGUAAUGCCAAUAUUUCUCGUUCAAACCUUUUUGAUAUAUAAGACUUGAACUUUUAAGUUUUAAAUAUGAAAUUAUUCUCAAAAUCAUAAAAUUUGAAAGUUUGCUUCUCAAAGUAAAAUUUAUUUGUGAAAAUUGAAUAUUUAAUAUCAAUAAGUAAAACUUUUUAAUUCAAUCUAUAAAGGUAGAAACCUUAUUUUCACAAAAACUCAAAGGAUAAAACCUUUAACACCUUAAUAACAAAGUAAACUUAAAACCAACUUUUAAACAAAAUUUAGAACUCUCUUUAUAUAUAUAUAUAUACAUCACUCGGCUAAAAUCCAUUUUACUCAUCAAAGUUUUUCAAAAAAAUUUCCAAAUCCAAAUCUAGUUUAAAACACCAUAAAUAAUCAAGGACAACCGCUCCUAUGAUCAAAUUUCAAAUGACUCCAAAUUUUAACUUAUACCACCAUUAAAAAUCACAAGAGAACGUUUUUUCUAACUUCUUUAAAAUUCAUAAAAAUUCUACUACCCAAAUACUUUUGAAUUAAAACAAACCACAACAAUUCACUUACCACUUUAUUUCCAAAAUUUUGCCAUGACCUUUUUGUUCCUAUCUCUUUUCCUUAAAAAUUUCAAACCAACAAACAUAAAAUAUUCAGAGUUCUUUCCACCGCUAACUCGGUGUCAACAAUCUCGAUUCAAAUUCGAGAUUCAAAGAGCUAGCUACAUAAACAUAGGGAAUUAUAAAAUUUACUUCAAGGAUAAGUUACUCAAGAAAACUAAUCAAUGUCUUUUUUAUCAAUCACUCUCUUACUUUAGAAUCCUCAUUUCACAACAUUGAGUUUUUUUUUUUUAUUUAAUUUUUUAUAAACAACAUAUAUCACUUUGGUCCCAAACACCUUAACAUCUAAUUAUCAUUUUAGUUAAAAAAAAUAACUAAACACACUAGCAAAAGUCUUCUUAACUUUACUAACUUAAAUCCUCUAAUAAAUUUUUUAUUGUCAGUUUAAACUCAUUUAUUUGAAAACAAUUCAUUACGUUACUCAAACACAUACAAAAAUCAAGAUUUCACAUUAUGACACACCACAUUUGGUCUUACUAAAAAUUUUAGGGGAUUGGUUUCACUUUUUUUAUUAUUCAAGUUUUUAACUCAUCUAAUUUCAAUAUUAACAAAGCACCAAAGCAACAAAACACACUUUUCUUUUACUCUCUUAUUUAGGGUUUUUUUAUGCUUGAAAGAAAAAGAGUUGAAAAUAUAUAUUUUUUGACUUCCUAAACAAUAAUAACAACCAUAGUAGUGAUAAACAAGCAAGAUUAAAGCUCAAAAUGUAAAAAAAAAAUCACUUUUUCCCCCUAUAUAUAAAUGCUUACGGGUUUGAGAGAAAAUAUGGGAGAAAUAGCUACCUCAACUAUUGACCCUUGGCUCUUUGCAUUCGUUUCAAGUAGUGAAACAACUUUGUAGUUGAAGGUAAUCAGUGAUUGGAAGCUUCCUUGAAGUUCCAAAAUGGAAGAAAAGAGAAGAAGAAAAUUUUGAAAUAAAAAGGAAGAAGGAGUAUGUUGGUGGUUGUAAGAUGAAGUGGGGAUUGAAGUGAAACUUAUGACUUUAAGCUCUAUUUAUUAGAAACACAAUGUGAUGUGAGACACACAUUAAAUUUUAGAGAGACGUGUCAAGUUUGUGAGGACAUUUCUUACUACUUCUCUUUUAAAAUACUAUUUCUAGUAAAAGUUAAAAUUCACUUUAUGUAAAAUUACUAAUUUUCUCUAACAAAGGUGUAUCCGACGCAACUCAACUCGCAAAUAAAUCUAAUCGUAAGUUAAAACUCAUAAAAUAUUUAUCAAUAGUUAUUAUUACGAUAAAAAUAAUUUGAUUAUUAAAAUAAUUAAAUUUAAUAAUAUUCAAUGAAAAAAUAUUACUCAUAAAUAAAUUAAGUCUCAAUCACCCAAGAACUUGAAUAAGAAAUUUCAUCGAAAUCAAAUAAAUUUUAAAUUUUGAAAGCGGCAAAACUCUCUGUCGAUUUCAAACUCUGAGAAAUUUCAUUCUCAGAUUUUGAUUAUUUAUACACGUGGACUAAAUAAAAAUAUUUCACCCAUGAAAAUAUAUUUUUUGUACUUUUAUUCAUAAAUAAAAGGAACUAAUAUACUCAACAACACAUUUUAAUUACAAAACUGAACUAAAUAUACUUAAUUAAGAAUUCAUUUUCUACGGAUCUUACAUUUAUCACUUACAAAUUUUUGUGUCGUGUUUUCUAUGCAUCAUUUAUAAAUAUUUAUCAAGAUUUUUUUAUUUUUUAUUAAUGACAAAUAUCUGCCUCAUGCUAUUUUAUGUAUCAUUGGUAAAUACAUGUCUAUGUGAAUUUGAAAUUUAUCCCUAACAAAUAUUUGUCCUAUGUUUAUUUAUCUUGUGUAAUUUUAAUACUUUUUAUGUGUUUUUUUUUUUUUAUUUUUCAUUUUCUCUUUCGCCCUCUUUUUAUUCCAUUAUCAACCUACUACAUUUAUUACAUAAUAAUCUCUAUUUUUUUCUUUUUCGGGUGUAUGAGUGUACACCAAUUUAUUUAUUUAUUUAUUAAUGCAAACAAUUUAUGGUAACUAGCAAGAAAACUAUGUUUUGUACAUGUUCCGUAUUUUUUAUAUUUAUUUGUGAAAAAUAUGUGUCAUAUUUUCGUUGUGUUUGUGGAAAAUACUUGUCCCAUUGUUUUUUAAUAGUUAUCGGUACGAAAUAUUUGUCCCGUAAUUUUUUGAUGUAUCAAUAGCAAAUGUUUGUCUCAUGUUUUAUAAUAGUUAUCAGUAUAAAAUUAUUUUUUAAUGGAAAUUUUUUAUAAUCAAUCUAAACAAAAAAUGCAUAUUAUUGAUGUUCAACAAGAAUGUGAUGUCUUAGCUCUUGUCACAUGUCUAUAUCGAUCAAAACUCGAGCGAAAAUAUCCCAAUAUUUUUGAGUUGGUUGCUUCAUCAAUAUCUUUGACCUUCAAUAUUUUUUGAGGCAAAUCGUAGAUAUGUAUCUAAUAUCGAGUUUUUGUGUUUCUUACUAAAUCUAGAUUGAAAUCUUUCGUCUAAGAGAAAAAUCGAAAAAGACUAAGCUUCAAAUUUCAGGUUCCAAUUGUUAGAAACACUUUGCAUAUCAUAUAGAGAAACAAAUGAGAACUUGCCAUGAACCAAUCACUUUUCAUAUUGUUAAAAGCUUUUCACGUAAAAUCAACAACGUAAUUGAUUUAUCACCUUUAGACAUAGUGACUCUAGCAUCAAAAUUAAUCUUAUAACUCGCCAAACCUAAUCGAUAUUCAUUUUUUUUUAAUUUUACUAGUAAGUGCUGACUCUUUAAAAUAGGAUUUUAGUAAUUGACUCAAAAAGAAUAUUGUAUAAAUUUUUGAAUAUUUGUGCAAAUUAUUUGAAUAGAAACUUUUGAAUAGAAUAUUGUAUUAAUUUACUUGUGAUCUCUUUGAUUUAUGUGCAUAGAUUAAUAUGGUUGUGUAUGAUACCAUUUAUUUUUAUUGUGGAUAUUUGUAUUGUCCCCUGUUGUUGUGUUUCAAAAAGAAAUGUUAGCAAUGAAUAAUCACAUUCAAUUUAUAUCUACCUAAUUAGUCCUAGUUUCUUUUAAUCAACUAUCAUUCAUGUCAGCAAGACAAAGCACAAGACCAUACCAGCAUAAUAUGCAUCGUUGCAUAAGAGAUAGAAAAUGAGUAAACUAUAUAUGUAUAACUGUUAAGAGAAAAAGGAAAAAAUAAAAAUAAACUACUGGACACAAAAUGUACCUCAGGGCUUCAAUAUGUGUUAAAACCUAAGAUUUUAAUAGCUCACUCCAAGAAUCUCCUUUUUUUUUUUCUCAAAUGAAGUUUCUAUAAUCAUCUAUAAUCAUCUAUAAUCACUAGUGCAAUUAAACCUUGUUAGAUCCGUUCCUAUGUAUUUCUUAGAUCAGUUUCUUAUCCGAUCUAAUAUCAAGCGUUGUAAUAAAUAGUUAAUUAUUAAAUCAGCUAAAAUAAUAGAUGUAACAAGUCACAUUCAAAAAUGAUUUUUUAGAUCGGUUAAAUUUGAACCAAUAUAACAAGUCAAAUUCAAAAUUAAUCUAUUAGAUCGAUUAAAUUUAAACCAAUAUAACAAGUCAAAUUCAAAAUUGAUUUAUUACAUCGGUUAAAUUUGAACCAAUAUAAAAAGUCAUAUUCAAAAUUGUUUAUUUUAUCGAUGAGCCAAUCGAUUUAAAUAAUUAACUUUUUAAUUUUUUGUUCUUUAUAACUUUCACCCCUUACAUAUGUAUCCUCAUAAUUUCACAUAUUACAUUAUUAACUAGAAUUUCUCAUUCAACCAUAAAACACAAAACUUCAUACGAAGCUUUACAUUUAAAAAUCAAUGACAAUGAGUCAUAAUUUUUUUACAAAAUCUAAAUUAUCAAAUUUAGAGCUACAUAAUAUUCACUAGUUAAAAAAAAAAUUGUCUUUUAUUAACAGUCUAAAGAUACUAAAAUGAUACAAGUGCUUCAAACAUUUUCUAUUAGUUCAAGAAUCAAGUUUGCACAACGUUGUCGGACAUUCAUCAUUUCUUCAUCUUCGAAUGGUUUUGAUUCUCCAAAUAUCUGAAUUAUAAACAUUGAAAUAACAAAGUUAUCUAAAUCAUGUGAACAUAAAAAUCGUAAGUAGUUAAUUAAUACUAACUUUGAAAAAAUCUAUCACAUACCCGCAUCCAUGAAUCAACAAGACCACUAGAUACAAUGUUCAACAUAUGUAUCAUAAUGUAGUAACCACACUCAUAACCUUUAGGUUGUAUUUGGCACUAAAAUUGAAUAUUAUAUGUAAAUUAUAAUGAGUAAAUAUUAUAUAGAUAAAAACAUAUAAAUUAUAAUUGAAAUUCUCUGACAUAUUUUUUCUAAAUGCAGCAAAUCAAAUUAACAAUAUGAAUGCUCCAAUUACCACGGAUUCAAGUCAGUUGCAACACCUUAUGACUAUGGAGCAGGGAAAUAACAACAUCUGAACCAUUUCAACCAUGGCUAGUUUAUGAAACCACCACCAUUGAUCACUUGAACUACUUGUGUUACCUUGGGUUCAAUAUAAACACAAUUAAGGUUAUCUAAUCAAUAUAUAUCAUUCAUUUAGCUCAUAUCUAAUCAAUGUAGAAUUAGUUACUCACACUUAAAUUCCAACAACCAAUCAUUUGCAAGAACAAAUCACCAAUGACUAUUAGUUUAAAUUAAUAAUUGCUUUUACAAUGCAAGGCUUACAUAGUGUGCAUAUGGUAAUUGUCUUUUUAAUACCGUUUGAGGGUAAUGCAUGUUUUCUUUGUAACCAUUGUAGCCAUAACAAUUAAAUAAGUUUUUUGAGCAAUAGAUUGGAGUUAGAAGAAGAGUGCUCAAGGUUUGGAUGCAUAACAACAAGCACAAUCUUGCCAAAAAAUUACAUAAUUAUUCUUGUAUAUAUUGAUAAAUUUUUAUUAAAUAUGAAAGACUUAAAUUACCUUUAUAAAAUAACUCUUACACUAAAAAAUCAUGCAUGUUCAACAAAAUGAUUUUCAAACAUCUUGAUCAUUUAGUUUGUUACUACUCCUAUAUCACAACAAAGCCAUAUAGAAAGAAGAGUACUCUCUUAACGUUCGAACAUUGUUAGUUGGGGCAGCUCAAACUGCUCUUGAAGAGUGGAUGUGGACAUUGGCCAAAAUUAUUAAGAAGGAUGAGGCACUACGAGAGCUAUUCUUAGCAUAAACUGGUACUGGUGCUCAUAAGUUUGCCCAAGGACUCAAUAGCAAAUUAUUAUUUAUAUUAUUUCUUUUCUUCCUACCAAAGAUGCUGUAAGAAGUUCCAUAUUAUCAGCAAAGUGGAGGUACUUGUGGACUCAUUGAUCUGUCUUUGAUUUUCUAAUUCCUCGAGCUAAGUACGGCAAAAAUCAGAAUUCAGCAAAUUGCCUCUUAGAUCUUGUGGGGAGAUUAUUGGACAAAUCUAAUUGUAUUGAAAGGCUCUGCGUUAAAAUAUUUGGAAUUUCUGUUAAUGCAAACCAAGUUAGUUCUUUAAUAUCUUCUGUUGCAAAGAACAAAGUUCAACAUCUUCAUUUCAACCUAGGUGAUGUAACUACUACUACUAACUGUGUACUACCCCUUAGUUUCCUAGCUUUUGAGUCUUUGAAUACACUCUAUUUAGGACUCAGACUCACUCUUCAUAUUCCUAGUGUUAUUUGUUUUCCUAGCUUUUGAGUAUUUGAUAUGCCACUACCAUUGGUGGCGUGUCAAAUAUGUGUCUUCAUAUAUGGAGUGUAUACUUAUCAUUAUUAUUAAUAAAUAUUUUAUAUUGCGCAAAUCUUAUUAUUGCACCUUGCCCCAAGAAGACAACUAACCUUUGAAAGAUUAAUUUGACGCAGGGCAAAAACAGCAAGGGCCUUGAAAAGUAUACCAGGACCCUCUUCUAAAGAAAAAACUAUACUUGUCUGAGAAUUCAAUAGCACAAUCAACAACAAUAUUAAAUGUUGAUGUCAGUAAGUAUAAAACCAAGCAACUGGAGAGACAUGAUGCAUUCCGCGAGUCCAGUAAUUUCAGCUAUUUAUGCUAUUUGAAGGUACCUUAAAUGGCUUGUCUGUGCCUGGAAGUAUUGGUUCUCGCGCCAACACUAAAAAUCGGGUGACAUUAUCAUUAUCAUCCUGCCAAUACAAAUCCAUUGGUCACCAAAUCCAUGAUAAACACAAAUUGUCUACCAUGUAAUUUAAAACACCCUGACACAUAGACCCAAACCUGAAUGUCUCGAGCAAGUACAUUUAAGCCAUAGAUCUCUGCAGCAGCAGAGCUAGCAACAGCUCCUGCAUCUUGUAGUUCAUGGAGGGCAACAUGCUAUAAUUUGUAACUAUGUUAGGAUAACUGAUAUUGAAAAACAAGUCAAUAAUAACAGUAGAGACUAGAGAGUCAAAAUCUAUAAUACCCUUCAAGACAUAUGCAUGUGUAGUGAGAGGAGGAGGGGGUAUGACUCUUGAGAAGAGUAAGAAAAAAAAGGUAUUUUUGUCUUUCUGGUGUUGUUAGAAUAAGUUGUCUGUUGGUUAAGUAACAAAAUUUUAGAGUAUUGUCCUAGACGCCACCUUUAGUUUAUGGCAAUGGUCAAUGUAUCAAAAUGGAAACCAUUUAUUAAAAUGCACAAUUUUUAAUCUAUCAUUGCAUCAAAUGUUGGGCUUUCAGUAAAUAUUUUUCAUUACUUGAUUACUUUAACCAGUGCCCUAUAUAUGGACACUUGUCAACCAAAACCUUCAAAAAUUAAACACGGAGCAAAACAAAAACCGUGAGCUAUCUAGUGCAUCAUUUUUUAAGCAAGUCAAGCAUACACAAUCGUGAUCAUUAAUUAAUCAACAGAAACACUUGAAAUGAUAUAAGAAAAACAGCUCCCAACAAUUCUCCACUUACUUUUGCAGUACCCGUUGUAUCAUCUACUGCUUCUCUAACCAAGCCCAACCCUGCCAGGGUGUUCUCACAUUGUGCAAGAGUCUAAAACAUCACCACUUUGGAUUAGUUUAUAGUUAGAAAAAAAAAGUAAGGUAUAAAAUGUUAGAGUCACACCUGUGGAUGACUAAGAACACGCUUCAAAUUAUCAAGUUUAACACCAUGGUUAGCCAUCAAACAAUGAUGGACUGCAUAUUUUACUUCUCCUACUAUAUGUAACCUGUGCCUGAGUAAAAGGUCAUAAUUUCUGUGGAUGCUCCCUCCCAAAGAAUUCUCAAUUGGCAAAACUGCUCUACAAGCCACCUUUCAACAACCUAUCAUGGGAAUCCGAGAUCACGAAAAAUAAAGAGACUACAGACAGUUAUAACUAACCAUCUUGACAAUCAGAAAGUAAGAACUAACUGGAAUAUGUUAUUUUGAGAUUUUAUUAGUUAUAACUUGUAAUGCAAAACUACCAGAGUUAUAUGAGCAAAUACGACAACAUUGCACAAAUUAAUCAAGGUUAACAUAGGUUUUGCAACUUAUAUUCACCAAACACUAAAACUAACAUCAAAAUAAAAUGAAAAUCCAUAAAGAAAACCACUACGCAGAAGUGCAAACAAGUUCAAGUUCAAUCGCCCACCUAAGUACAACCUAUGAAGCAUGGGUACUUUCUAAAAUGGUGAAGUACCCGUAUCGGUACUCGUACUGUACUGUGGGUACUUUGUUUUUGUUAUUAUUUUAUUGCGAGUAAAAUUAAUAAUUUUUUUAUACAUUUAUAUAAUAUUAUUUGUGUAUCUAAGUUAAUUUGUUGGUAUAACCGACACAAUUUGUGUUUUUUUAAACUUUUAUUGUGAUUUUGUAUUGUGAAUUGAAUAAUUCUGAUCUCUUAGUUAAAUUAUACAAAAAAAUCAUGUUUUCCAUUAACGUACCCCCGUACCUUCCUUUUUUUUUAAAUACUGUAUCCCAUACCAGUACACAGUACCGUACUUAUGUAUCAUAACAUUAAAGGAACUUGAUAAAGAAACAUAGACAUAGUAACAUAUUACUAGCAAAGAGGAAAAGGGUAACAUAAUGUUUACUUCAAAAGCAGUGUCAAAUUGUUCACAAGGCACAGCUUCACAAUUUGGAUAGGCCUUUUGUGCCGCAGAUUCACUGUAAGCACCACGAACCCCCUGAAAAAUAGGAUGAUUGAAAAUUAGGAUUAAUAAUAAGAAUAAUUAACAAUGAAAUAAUUUUAGAUUGUUGAGUAACAAACAAAAAUUAUUAGAAAAUUACUGGAGAAAGCCACAAACACUUCUCGAUAGUGAAAUAAAUUGACUGAAAGCUGCGCCAGACCAACUCGCCGGUGAUGAAGGCUAAAAGUUGCUAUUCAUGAUUCACGUUUUCACUGAAGGAUGAAGGUUAAAUGUGGAAGGAUGAAAACGUUUUCACUGAAGGAUGAAGGUUAAAUGUGGUUGGGUUUGAUGAAAAACGAAUGUUGAAGGAUGAAAAAUGGGUUUGGAUUCGCGGGUUUGGAUUCGUGGGUUUGUGGAUUUGCAGAAGGAUGAAGAAGAACGGAUGAUGAAGAUGAAAAAAUGAAAGGGUUGGUACGUGUGAUUUCUUAUUCUUUAGUUAACUUAGGGAAUUUUUUUUAAAGUCUUGUUAGAUCGGUCUAACAAAACAGAUCUAACAAAAUUUGUAAUAAUAACAAAUUUGCCACUGCCUUUUUUUUUGUGUGUAGUCUUUUUUUUAAUGUAUAUGUUAGAACAGUUCAAUUAGAACAGAUCUAACAAAAUUUACUAUAAUAAUAAAUUUACCAGUUUUUUAUUUUUAUUUUUAAUAUGUAUGUUAGAUCAGUUCAAUUAGAACUGAUCUAAUAAAAUUUAUUAUAAUAAUAAAUUUACCACAAUUUUUUUUUUUAGUUUUAUUUUUUUUUAAUGUGUUUGUUAGAACAGAUUAGAACAGAUCUAACAAAGUUUACCAUAAUAACAAAUUUGCCACCAUCUUGCUUAUUACAUUGGAUGUAUAACAACCGAUCUAAUAUCAACGAUGUAACAAAGUUAAAAUGCACUAGUGAAUCAAUUAUAUAUGAGAGUUGCAGCCGAAGAAUACAAGUGACUAAAAUAAGGUUUUUAUUUUUUAAAUGUGAAGCUUGAGCUACAUGUAAGCAUCAUAGGUAUAAGGGACCAUAAGUAUUAAUUUUGCCAUAAUUCAUGUGUAUUAUUCCAUAAGUUUUAGUUUAAUUGAAAAUAGUAUACUAACUUUUUCCUAUUGUAUCAUAGAUUUAAUUACUAUAUCUUGAUUAUCUUCUCUAUAAGAUCUGAUGACAAACUGUUGUUUUUUCAAUGAAAACUGAAAAUGAAGUAUCAGGAUCCGGUCCCAGAAUUAUUUUCUAUGAUAGAAUAGCAUAAUGACUUAUUUAACUCUAACUAUUCUUGUGGGAAACAUUUACAUACUAAUGGAGGACAAGUCUUGACUUUAUUGUCAUACAAUUUGAAGGCAUGGUGAAAAUGUGUUGUUAGCAAAGAUUGUCAACAUCACAUAAUAUUGGAAACAUAAGAUGCAAAUUGUGAAAAAAUGAUGAAUGAAAGUGCACUCACAAGAGCUCAUUGGAGAAAUAGAAAAGAUAUGAUCCAAUUGUAAAUUACCUAAUGAUUAUGCAAAUGGAAAAAUAAUUAGAGAUUACAAGUGAAAAUUGAACAAUCAAAGGAAGUUACGUAUAUUUGAUUAAACAAAAACUAAGAACAUUUACAAUCAAAUUUGAACAAAAAUAAAAAAAUUAAUUGAUGAAUGGGAGAAGAAAAAAGAUUCAUACAAAUAGUGUUCAACCUCCAAUCAGAUUCGUCUCUGAAACCAUUUCGUCCUUUAAUUCUUUCUUCUUGUUGGGAAAAACCAGAGAUAAUUAGCGAUAACUAUCUCAAUAAUGCGGACUAUUUUUCCCCCACCUGUACAGAUAAAUUGCCAAACAGAAAAUACAAUUCCAGAGCAAAAAUAAUUGGCAGAAAAUUAAAUAUAAGACAAACAUAAUUUUUAAUGUAGAAAACUUCCCUCAAAUUAAGAGAACAAAAACCACGGGACCUAGUCCAGUAAAACUUUCACUAUAACAGUUAAUGGGUACACCAGAGUCUUCCUAAUAACAAUAGGGAACAUCAAUCAACAAUAACAACCUUAUAACAACCUUCCACUAAAGUGGGUAUGCCAAAGUUACAGAAGAUAAAACUACUCUGUAUAUUAAAAUAACAAACUCAGUGGCAGAAAUAACAUACUAAAUUUGUAGAUCAAACGGAGCAAGUUUGCUACACACCUGUUACCACCACCGGAACCAAACCCUUAUUUUUCUUCUCUAGCAGUCGUUCUCUUUCGUUCUACUAAUCUUUAGGAUUUCUAAAUCCCUUUUAUUUCCUUCAUGUGGGCCUAGCCCAAUAAUACCAAUUUUUUUUCGUUCUUUCUUUUUUCAAUAAUAAUAAUACUAAUACUAAUAAAACUAGUAGGUUUCACUUGGAGAGUGAACCCACCCAAGAAAUCUCCCCCUCACGACUCAAGUGGGAAGGUACUGCUCAACCAUUCUUUCUACAGCAUAUCAUCUUCAACACAUGCAAGGUCUUCGUCAUCAUAUCUGAACCAUUCUCAUCAGUAUGAAUCUUCUCAAUUAAAAAUGACUUCAUUUCCAGUGCAUCUCGUAUCCAAUGAUACCGCACUUCAAUAUGAUUCGACUUUGCAUGAAAAUUCGAAUUCUUGCUGAGAUGGAUCGCACUCUGACUGUCACAAAAUAACACAAACUUGUCUUGCUUGAGGCCUAACUCAUGUAGGAAUUUCUUCAUCCACAAGAGUUCUUUGGAAGCUUCAGUUGCUGCAAUGUACUCAGCUUCAGUAGUGGACAAAGCAACACACUUUUGUAGUCUUGAUUGCCAAGACACAGCUCCCCCUGCAAAAGUCAUCAUAUAACCAGAAGUAGAUUUUCUAGAAUCAAGAUCACCUGUCAUAUCUGCAUAUGUAUAGCCAUCCAACACAGGUUCAUCCCCUCCAUAGCAUAAACACACUUUGGAAGUGCCUCUGAGGUAUCUAAGAAUCCACUUCAUCGCUUGCCAAUUAUCUUUACCAGGAUUAGAGAGAAAUCGACUAACAACUUCAACUGCAUGAGCAAUAUCUGGCCUUGUGCAUACCAUAGCAUACAUCAAACUACCAACUAGCAAGUGGAGUACUAACAGGUUUGCAAUUGCUCAUGUUAAACCUCUCUAACACCUUCUCAAUAUAAUUGUGUUGAGACAACCACAAUUUAUUAUUCUUCCUGUCACGAGUAAUUCUCAUACCCAGAAUUUGCUUUGCAGGACCUAAGUAUUUCAUUGCAAAAGACUUGUUCAAAUCUUUCUUUAAAGAUUGAAUCUUCUUAGUGUCAUAACCAACAAUCAACAUGUCAUCCACAUAUAAUAAGAGAAUAAUAUAAUCACCAUCGGAGAAUUUCUUGAUAAACACACAAUGGUUAGAAGUAGUUUUACUAUACCCAUAUUUCUCCAUGAAAGAAUCAAAUUUCUUGUACCCUUGUCGAUGGGCUUGUUUGAGCCUAUACAAACUUUUCUUCAAUUUACAUACAAGUUGCUCUUUACCUUUGACUUCGAAACCUUCUGGUUGCUCCAUAUAGAUCUCUUCCUCCAAAUCACCAUGAAGGAAUGCAGUUUUCACAUCAAGUUGUUCAACUUCUAGGUUCAAACUAGCUGCUAACCCAAACACAACUCGAAUAGAGGACAUCUUCACCACAGGUGAAAAAAUUUCACCAAAGUCAAUACCUUUUCUCUGAUUAAAACCUUUCACAAUCAAUCUUGCUUUGUAUCUUGGUUGAGAACUAUUCUCUUCUGCCUUUAUCUUGUAUACCCAUUUAUUCUUAAGUGCUUUUCUACCAUUAGGCAACUUUACCACAUCAAAUGUGUGAUUCUCAUGCAAGGAAUUCAUCUAUUCUUGCAUGGCCUUUAACCACUUUUCUUUAUCAACAUUUGUAAUAGCUUCUUGAUAGUACUAUGACUCUCCACUAUCAGUGAUCAUCACAUACUCAUGUGGAGGAUAUCUUUGAGAAGGUUGACGUUCUCUAGUAGAUCUUCUCAAGUCAAACUCGAUUGGUGGCUCAAUUGGAACUUGCUCAUCAUGGUGAGGUGCACGAUCAUCAGUUACAUUCUCAUCAUCUAUCUGUAUAUCUCCCCCAUCAACAAAGGUUUCUGCAGGGGGUUUAGGCGCAACAUCAAUGUAACUUCUGGAAUUUGGUUUCUGUUUUUAGCUUUAUCAAAAUCUUCAAUAGUCUGGUCUUCAAGAAAUUUCACAUCUCGGCUUCUGAUAAUUUUCUUGUCAACCGGAUCCCACAAUCUAUAAUCAAAUUCUUCAUCACCAUAACCGACGAAUAUACACUGUUUGGAUUUACUAUCAAGCUUGGACCUCUCAUCUCUUGGAACGUGAACAAAACAUCUGCAACCAAAAACUCUCAAAUGACGGUAAAAGACAUCUUUCCCUGUCCACACUCUAUUUGGAACAUCACCAUCAAGUGGAAUAGAAGGAGAAAGAUUGAUCAAAUCCACUGCAGUUUUCAUUGCUUCACCCCAAAAAGAUUUCGAUAAUUUUGCAUGAGAGAGCAUACAUCUGAUUCUGUCAUUAAUCGUACGAUUCAUUCUCUCUGCAAUACCAUUAUGUUGAGGUGUCUUUGGAAAUGUUUUCUCAAACCUGAUUCCAUGUUCUCUAGAAUACUCUUCAAAUGGACAUAUGUAUUCGCCACCGUUAUCUGAUCGAACACAUUUCAAUUUCCUUCCAUUUUCUCUUUCAACACUUGCAUGAAAAUGCUUGAAGACUCCAAAUAUUUGAUCUUUAGAUUUCAAAGGGAAUGCCUACACUUUUCUAGAGUGGUCGUCAAUAAAAGUAACAAAAUAUGAUGCACCACUAAGAGAUUUACUAUCCAUCAUACAAACAUCAAGAUGAACUAAAUCAAGAAUAUUUUGCCUCCUAUGAGGACCAGUAUUAUGAAAAGAAACUAUAUGUUGUUUUCCAGCAAAACAAUGAGUGUAAGUUUUUAGAGACGUACCUUUCACAGGAAGAAAGUUUUUCUUCGCAAGUAUGUUGAGUCCUUUCUCACUCAAGUGACCGAGGCGCAUAUGCCAUAAAUCAGAAGUUGCAUCUUCUAUUGCAUUCACUUCUUCCUUGCAUAACUUCGUAGACAUCCUAUAGAGAGAAGUGAAACUUUGUUCCUUUGCAACCACUAGGGACCCUUUGGUGAUUUUACAUAUACCACCACCACCAAAGUAAGUGUGAUAACCCUCAAUAUCCAAGGCUUUGACCGAAAUCAAAUUGAGACAAAUAUUAGGUAUAUGUCUAAUAUUCUUCAAUUGAAGCUUGCAACCAAUCUCAGUUUCAACCCAAACAUCUCCCAUACCGAUAAUUUUACAUACUCCUUCAUCUUCCAUUUUUACCAUGCCAAAAUCACCAGCACUGUAAGAUGAGAAGAAAUCACGCCUAGGAGUAACAUGAUAUGAGGCACCCGAAUCAAUAAUCCAAGUUGAAUCAUGACAUGCAAGGUUUAUGAAAUUAUUAUCACAAACAAUGUAGACAUUAUUAAUAGAUGCAACUGCUGUUGUAUCUUUGUCAUUUUUCUUCUUUUUGUCUUCAUCUAUUUUCCUUGAUUGAUUUCUCUUAAGGAAUCUGCAAUUUCUUUUUAUGUGACCCGCUUUGCCACAAUGGUACAUAUCACUUCCUUUCUAGUCCUCGACUUGCUUCUUGACUUGCUACGACUUUCAGAGUUGUCGCGUCUAUGGAAGUUUCUAGAUUGACUUCUCCCCCGUGACUCUGUAACUAGUGCUUCUGACUUUGAGGAAGAACCAAUCAAACCACGUUCCUUUCUUUGAGCUUCUUCAUUCAACAUGCUCUCUUUAACUGUUGACAUUUUCAACUUUCUACUUGGAGCUGAAUUGGUCAACGUCACAACAAGGACUUCCUAAUUAUUAGGCAAGGAACUCAACAAUAACAACGUUUGCAACUCAUCAUCUAAUUUAAUUUAUGCAGUUGUCAACUGAUUCACUAUAUUCUGAAAAAUACUCAUAUGCUCUGCCAUUGAAUCCCCAUAUUUGUUUUUCAUAUUCACCAGCUUCCGAAUCAAGAAUGCUUUAUUUUGCACAAUCUUUCGUUCAUACAACUCUUUAAAUUUUUCCCACAUCUUGUUAGCAUCUAUUUCAGUUUCAACAUGUGGAUACACACUAAGAUCCAACCACUGCCUGAUCAACGCCACUGCCUGAUCAACGCCAUUGCCUUUGUAUUCAUCUUCUUCCAGUCAGCGUCAGAUUUAUCUGUGGGUUUAGCAGUGUCACCCUCAAUAGGAUCAUACAAAUAUUUAUUGUAUAACAUGUCUUCCAUGAGAGUCUUCCAAAGUGUAUAAUUAGAAGAGUUGAAUUUAAUCAUAUUGGGACAUUUAUUUUCCUCCUCCAUUUAAAUGCACAAAUCAAAUAAUCGAGCUCUAGAUACCACUUUAUUGGGAAAAACCAGAGAUAAUUAGCGAUAAUUAUAUCAAUAAUGCGGAAUAUUUUCCCCCCACCUGUGCAGAUAAAUGACCAAACAGAAAAUAGAAUUUCAGAGCAAAAAUAAUUGGCAGAAAAUUAAAUAUGAGACAAACGCAAUUUUUAACGUGGAAAACUUCCCUCAAAUUGAGAGAAUAAAAACCACGGGACCUAGUCCAGUAAAACUUCUAAUAUAUAAUAGUUAAUGGGUGCACCAGAGUCUUCCUAAUAACAAUAGGGAACAUCAAUCAACAAUAACAACUUUCCACUAAAGUGGGUAUGCCAAAGUUACAGAGAAGAUAAAACUACUCACUGUAUAUUAAAAUAACAAAAUUUGUAGAUCAAACGAAGCAAGUUUGCUACACACCUGUUACCACCACCAAAAUCAAACCCUUAUUUUUCUUCUUUGGCAGUCGUUCUCUUUCGUUCUACUAAUCCUUAGGAUUUCUAAAUCUCUUUUAUUUCCUUCACGUGGGCCUAGCCCAAUAAUCCCUUUUUUUUUCUUUUUUUUUUAUUUCAAUAAUAAUAAUAAUAAUACAAAUACUAAUAAAACUAGUGGGUUCUACUUGGGGAGUGAACUCACCCAAAACUUCCCUUAUAUCUUCAUCUUCAUUCAACAAAACAAAAACAAUAUCUCAAAAUUCAAACAUUUAAAAACCUUGAAAUGAAAUUUGUUCGAAUGAAAGCGCAAAUCAAACCUGGCACCGCGUUGGAGAAGCACAUCAACUGGGUUAGAGCUGGCUACAUUUUGGAGCACUGAGUUUGCUAUAAUACAAAGCUUUUGUUGGGGUCUUCUGCAAUUCCAUAAAUUAUAUACACUAUAUAUUUUAAUUGCAUUUCACCCUCAAAUUUAAGGGUAUGUUUGUAUGGACUUUAAUUAGUUUUGAAAUAUAAGAGAGAAGAGAGUUUAUUUUUCUUUUUUAAAUUAAAGUUAUAAAGUGUUUUUAAAAAUCAAUUGAGUGUGGUUAAAAUGUUAUAUAAUCAUUUUACCGACUAAUUAAAGCCAAUUUUCCCUAACUUUUGAUUGAAUUUUAGUUGAUUUUAAUUUCCCUUCUUUAAGUACUUUAUGAUUUACUCCUAUCUUCCCAACAUUAUGAUAAUCCGAAAGGAUUAACCUAAUCCAUCAAUCCUUCUCCUUAUCUAGCCUUUUCACCAACCUCUGUGGUUACCACAUUUCAUUGUGAAAUCAAUAUCUAACUUCUUUUUAAAACUAUUUGUCUUUUGUCAUAAAAAUUAUAUUUGAUAAUUCUUUAACACAGAAUAAAUCAUCUCCAUUCAAUUACAACGAGGAGAGCGAAGGGAUUUAAUUGGACCUUACAUGGCAUUGACUACCGUAAACAAUUUGAGACAGGGCAACACGAUGGCAUUGACCAAUUUAAGUAUUAUUAGUAGCAUCACAUGGGGUCACAAUUAAUGCACACUUUUUAUGAUAUAUUAUAACAAAUUAGGUUAAACAACAAAGAAGAGGGACAUGCAACGAAAGUCGCUGCCAGCUUUGACACAAAAAAGAAUAAAUAAAUGAGAAAUGGUAUUUUGACUCACAAUUUUGACAUUAAAUAAUUAUAUUUAGUAAAUGGAUCUUUUAGGACAUAUUUAGUAAAUGGUUAAUUAAUAUAAUGGUGUUCCAAUUCAAAAAAUAUAUAUAUAAGGGUAUCCCAACUCGCUAACCACGUAAUUAACACAAUUAAUUAAGAUUUUGAAUGUUAUUAAUCAUAAUUAUUAAAAGUACAUUUAAGCACAAAAUAUGAUCAAUGAAUAUAUCUUGUGGUUAACUAGUAACAGUCAGAAUCAUGAAUAAUUGUGUUUAAUGAUUUGUUAAUGAAAUAUGGUAUUUUGUUAUAUUUAUUAACCAUCACAAAAUAUAAUUACCCACAUCCGUAAAUUAGUUAACCAUAUAAUUUGUUGUGGAAAUUUGAUUGUAAAUAAACAGACAUGUAGGGCAAAACCAAAAAAGUGGCUACAAUUUCUCUUCAAACUAGCACAUAAAAUCAGACAAUGGUGCUACAUUUAAUAGUAUGUACUUUUCCACAAACAAUGUUGAAAAGAAACAGAUAAUAUACUGAAAAAUGAUCCUCUCAUGUCAAAUUUUAACAUCAAAAUUAGAAGUGAUCUCACAUCAUUUAAGAAGAGAGAUAGAGAUAGAUAGUUCUACAAUUCAACUGAGGGAAAUCAUUCAUGUUUCUUCCUCUAUGAUGUUCUGAACAAAUAGAGGACAAUUUUUUAUUUGCAAAAGGCUUAGUUGUCCAUUUAUAAAUGUUAUAUUAUCCAACAGCACAAAACUCAAUUUCUUAACGGUAGUUUUCACGUUCCAUUCAUUUAUUGAUUACAUAAUUUUAUGUUACAAGCCAAUGAUAAAAAAUAACUAGUAGCAUAUAUUUUAACACCUAGAAAUUUACCAGGAAGAACAUUGUAGAGACACAUCAAAUGAAUGUCCAUAUUAAGUCAGAAUAAUAUAACACAUUAAUAAUCUGUACACGCCUUCACAUGCAAUUUGUGUAAGCUCCUCCUAGUUUUGUUUUUAAAUGGCAAAUAAUAGUUGUUAGGAAAAGGAGUUGAAUCUAUAAUGUGUUAUAUAAUUUUAUGCACACUAUAAUUAGAAAUUUUCAAAGAGCAUUAGAACCAUUCUCUUUCCAAUACUUACAUUUUUUUUUUGUAGCUGAAAUUUAUGUGGUUCUCACUACUUUAUGUGAGCCCAAUUCCAAAAUAAUGAAACAUAAAUGAAUUUCAUGUAAUAAGUUAGUAUUAUGAAUCUUGCAAAUACUAUAGUGUCUUUUUUUUACAAACUCAUGUUUUUCACUAGCUUUUGCCAUUAUGAUGUUUUGAUUCAUGUCCAAUUACAAUUUUAGAACUAUUCCUUUCUAUGUUAUUUAAACAAUUCAAUCAUUUGAUAUUGACAUACUUUCAUCAUGCGUGCAAGUGCCUUUUUUUGAAUAAUUUCUUACUCUGUUACUAAAAUAACUGCAUCUUGAUGCAUUGGACAAAUAAAGUGACAACAAAAAUAUUCAGAAAGUGUUUCGCCCAAACAGAGAAAUAUUGAGAAAGGACUUAAAAUUAAAGACACAACUAAAAGUCAAGAUACAAAUAAAACCCCACUGAAUAUUUCAUGUACAAAAUUAAAAUAUUCUGAAAUUUGCUAAUUAUUUUUCCUGGUUAUUGUUUCUAUUAUUUUCUCCUUCAAAAUCGCCAAUGUGUAAUUGUGCAUUUCAUCCAAGAAAUGGCAACAUCACAUGUUCAUCUCAUAAUUGAGAAGUCUCAUAAUUUAAAUUAUUCUUUAUCAGUUAUCACUAAGUAUCAAAUAUGUGUAAAAAGUACACAAACAAAUAAUGAAAAGUCAAAUGUAUAUAUUUCACGAUUAAAUGAAGAACUUGUAAAAAAAAAAAAUCAAAUGAAGAAAGAAAAAAUUCCAUCCAAAGCUUGCGAUAGCCACCAUCACGAGCUAGAACAAAAAUCAUGACCACUCAUGGAUCAUUAAUACAAAAUAGACUAGAUUCACUUUCUCUUCCCUCAAAAACAAUAGAAAAUAGGUAUAAAAAAAAAAAGAAAGAAAGAAAGAGAGAAUGGUAAAAAAAACAGCAUUUUGUAGUUACUUUUUUGUCAACAUAGGCAACUCAGCAGGGCUGCUAGGAAUAAUUACCCAAGAGUAGGACACAUUGCCUUUAAAUUCUCUAAUCAUUCCAUUUUGUCAAAAUGCUGAAUUACAUUUUAGUUAAUACUCUGUUCAAUUUAUCAAACUACUCAUCUUAAUUAUAAAUUAUAAGUAUGUUUUCUAUUAUUAUUAAUACAAUUACAAUAUUAAUAUUUUGGUCGUUGUGACAAUAAUAAUUGAAGGAUAAUAAAGAAAAAAAAUGAAAUUUGUAUUGAAAAUUGAAAAUAAUAUUCAUUUUUAGACAAAUUAUUUUUAUUAAAGUGACGUUAAUUGUGGGAUAGAGAGAGUAAUUGAAGAUAGAAAUAGUGACGGGUUAUAGCCAUUUGGACUUAAUCAAUGGAAGGGAAAGAAAUGGCCAACUGGAAAGCUUUUAAAGCAUUUAAAUCAAAAUGAAACCAAUUGAAUAUUUAAAUUGGAUCUUAAUGAAAACUACCCCUUAACGAAAGACACUCACUAUAAAUACUAAAUCUUCCAUGCAGCUUUUCACAUAAUCACUAACACCAAAACCUCAUAUUAUUUCCUUCUUUCUUCUGCUCCACUUCAAAGAAUAUUAGUGAGGAUCUAAUAGCAAAAGCAUUAGAGGUGGCAAGUUUUUUCUUUCUACCCAUGACUGAUAGGGCCAGUUACCCCAAAAGGGGUUAUAUCUGGCCACCAAUGACAAUGGCAUUGGCCAUUGUUUUGAUUUCUACUACUGUGGUUUCUGCUGCUGCAGAUAGUUACCUUUACUCUUCUCCUCCACCUCCUUAUGAGUAUAAGUCACCUCCACCUCCAUCUCCUUCACCACCACCUCCUUAUGUGUACAAGUCGCCACCUCCUCCACCACCGUCACCUCCACCACCAUAUGAGCACAAGGCUCCAUCUUAUGAGUACAAGUCACCCCCACCUCCACCACCUUACAUUUACAAGUCUCCACCACCUCCACCCUAUGACCACAAGUCACCAUCUUAUAAGUAUAAGUCUCCCCCGCCUCCUACACCAUCACCCCCACCACCCUAUGUGUACAAGUCACCACCUCCUCCAUCACCAUCACCUCCACCACCUUACAUUUACAAGUCUCCACCACCUCCACCCUAUGAGCACAAGUCACCAUCUUAUGAGUACAAGUCUCCCCCGCCUCCUACACCAUCACCCCCACCACCCUAUGUGUACAAGUCACCACCUCCUCCAUCACCAUCACCUCCACCACCUUACAUUUACAAGUCUCCACCACCUCCACCCUAUGACCACAAGUCUCCAUCUUAUGAGUACAAGUCUCCCCCGCCUCCUUCACCAUCACCCCCACCACCCUAUGUGUACAAGUCACCACCUCCUCCAUCACCAUCACCUCCACCACCUUACAUUUACAAGUCUCCACCACCUCCACCCUAUGACCACAAGUCUCCAUCUUAUGAGUACAAGUCUCCCCCUCCUCCUUCACCAUCACCCCCACCACCAUAUGUGUACAAGUCACCACCUCCUCCAUCACCAUCACCUCCACCACCUUACAUAUACAAGUCUCCACCACCUCCACCCUAUGAGCGCAAAUCUCCAUCUUAUGAGUACAAGUCUCCCCCACCACCAUACGUGUACAAGUCACCACCUCCUCCAUCACCCCCACCUCCAUACAUAUACAAGUCACCGCCUCAACCACCUUAUGAACACAAGUCUCCACCAUACUAUUACAAGAGCCCUCCACCACCCUCUCCCUCACCUCCGCCUCCUUAUUAUUACAAAUCCCCCCCACCCCCAUCACCAUCUCCACCACCACCUUACUAUUACAAAUCUCCUCCCCCGCCAUCUCCUAUUCCCCAUACACCUUACUACUACAAGUCCCCACCACCACCUAAGUAUCUUCCACCACCAUACUAUUAUAACUCUCCUCCUCCACAUGUUGUGUAUCCUCAACCACACCCCUACCACCACUCAUUGAUUGUGAAGGUAGUGGGUAAAGUUUACAGCUUUAGGUGUUAUGACUGGGAGUAUCCUGAAAAGUCUCAUGACAAGAAACACCUCAAAGGUACAUCACUUUACAUUUUUUAAUCCUUUCAUUUUUAUCUCUUUCGGGUAAACCUUUUUUGAAAAAACUGUGUAAAUUAUUAUUCGCUCCAAAUUCUCAAUACUGUUACAAUUACUGUCAUAUUUGGUAAUGAGAUUCGUGUGUGUGUGUGUAUGUUUUGAUUAAGGUCUUUGUUUUAUAGAAUUUAGCUGUUCUUCAACACAAACACUUAGAGUUUAGCUGUCUCCUUUCUCCAAUAAACCUUUCAUGCUAAUUAUUGUCUAUAAACAACAUAAUUUUCAAAAGUUGAGGAAAAAAUUGAACGCAUUAGCUUACACCACAACUAUCUAUCUAAAGCAUGUUUGUUUUUAUAUAAUUUUAAGGAAAUAAAUACUUUUCAUAAUCUUUAAAAUAAAUAAAUUAAAAUAUAUUAAAUUUAAACAAACAAAAUAUUCUUAUAUAAAUCAAGUCAAAAAUAUUCUUCUCAAAUUUAGCUAGAUCUGAAUAUUUUGUACUGUAUGUAAUUUAAUUGGCAUUCUAACUUUCUAAGUUAUCAAACAGGUUGCAGCCUGUCAUAAAUAACGAAACAUUUGAUAUGUCAAAUUAAGAUAUAAUAUAAUUUACCUGAUUGUAAUUUAAUAAGUCUGCAUAAUAUAAAUAUUCUGUUUGAUAAUGAUAGUUUAACAUGCUGCUUUUUAAUAAUACUCAUAUAAUAUGUGUCUUCUAAUACAUUUGUAUUUAAGUGUCUUAAAUCAAAUUUUUAAUGGUGCAGGAGCUAUUGUGGAGGUGAAAUGCAAAGCUGGAAGAAAAAUCAUCAAGGCUUAUGGCAAAACUAAGAUCAAUGGAAAAUACAGCAUCACAGUUAAGGACUUCGACUAUAUCAAAUAUGGUCCAACAGUAUGCAAGGCUGUGAUUUAUGCUCCACCUAAUGGAUCUCCCUUCAACAUACCUACAAAGCUAAAUGAGGGAACCAACUUAGAAUUGAAAUCCAAAGACAAGUACGAGGUUGUUCUUAAGGCUAAGCCAUUUGCUUAUGCCUCAAAGAAACAUUUUAAAGAAUGUGAAAAGCCCAAGCCUUCACCAACUCCUUACUACUACAAAUCACCUCCUCAUCCAACACCAGUUUACAAGUACAAGUCACCACCUCCACCGGUCCAUUAUUAUUCUCCACCAUAUUACUACAAGUCACCACCUCCUCCAGUUAAAUCACCACUACCUCCUUAUUAUUACAAGUCUCCACCUCCGCCAUCACCCACUCCUCAUCCAUAUUAUUAUAAAUCUCCCCCACCACCUUCACCAUCACCUCCUCCACCUUAUUAUUAUAAAUCUCCUCCUCCACCCAAAGAGAUAUCACACCCUCCAUACUACUACAAGUCACCACCCCUACCAUCACCAUCACCUCCUCCACCAUACUAUUAUAAGUCCCCACCUCCACCAUCACCAUCUCCACCACCACCUUACUAUUAUAAGUCACCUCCUCCACCCAAAGAGAUUUCACACCCUCCAUACUACUAUAAGUCACCACCCCCACCAUCCCCGUCCCCUCCUCCACCAUACUACUACAAGUCCCCACCUCCACCCAAAGAGAUUUCACACCCUCCAUACUACUAUAAGUCACCACCCCCACCAUCCCCUUCCC
Molecule: long non-coding RNA, 40334 nt
Filed under: Cicer arietinum (chickpea)
Lineage: Eukaryota; Viridiplantae; Streptophyta; Magnoliopsida; Fabales; Fabaceae
Description: long non-coding RNA (CARI_LNC001280)
Source: RNAcentral